This is a long non-coding RNA of Eriocheir sinensis (Chinese mitten crab), 651 nucleotides long. RefSeq lists it as uncharacterized. Lineage: Eukaryota; Metazoa; Arthropoda; Malacostraca; Decapoda; Varunidae. The record is from RefSeq and is a predicted model, not a curated record. The transcript has 3 exons.
GCAUAUUUAGGUGAGAAGAGGAUAAGGUAAGGGCAGUAGGUUAUAUCAUGACAGCAUAACAUUCCCACAGCCUUCCCCUACAGCCCCUCGAAAGGUUAAUUUACGUUGCAUCAUUGUAGCUUUAUGCUCCUCCACAUUGUAGCAUAUUUAGGUGAGAAGACUUGUAGGUAAGGGAAGUAGAUUAUAUGACACAGCAUAACAUUCCCACACCCAUCCCCUACAGCCCCUCGAAAGGUUAAUUUACGUUGCAUCAUUGUAGCUUUAUGCUCCUCCACAUUGUAGCAUAUUUAGGUGAGAAGAGUCGUAGGUAAGGGAAGUAGAUUAUAUCAUGACAUAGCAUAACAUUCCCACAGCCUUCCCCUACAGCCCCUCGGAAGGCUAGUUUGCGUUGCUUUGUACCUUUAUACUUCACAUUGUAGCAUAUUUAGGUGAGAAGAGUUGUAGGUAAGAUAAGGGCAGUAUAUUAUUAUAUGGCAUAGCAUAACAUUCCCACACCCCUCCCGUGCAGCCCCUUGGAAGGUUAGUUUACUUUGCGUUGUAACUUUAUACUCGUCCACUGUGUAUCAUAUUUAGGUGAAAAGAGGGUAAGGUAAGGGCAGUAGAUUAUAUUAUGACAGCAUAACAUUCCCACAGCCUUCCCCUACAGCCCCU